AGUGUCAAAAUAGCUGUAAGGGAAGAAAGGGAAGGACCAAACCCACCAUUAAAUACCAACUCUCUCUCUCUCUCUCUCUCUAUGGCACAGUGUCACAGAAUAAAAAGCCUUCUUAGGGAUCCAUCAUCGUCGCCCUGAGAAGAGAAGAGAUCAGAGAAUCACGAGACGGCUUUAUCUCUCUUUUCUCAAUUUCUAUGUUUCUUAUCCCCUUCUGUCUGUUUUCCAUUUAUCUGAUUUCCUCAAACGCCACCAAAUAUAGGAUUCCUUCCUUCGUCCUCGCUGGUGAUAUUCUUCACUCAAUUCACAACUUGUUGGUCUGAGAGCUUGAAGCUGCCAGCAUGAUCUGGUAAUUAACCUGCCUGCCGCACUACUGCUUAAUAUCUAUCUAAAUCUAUAUAGUUAGUGGGAGAAAAUUCUAUAUUCAAUAUUCGUUCCGACGGUGGAUUUUAGAGUUUGUGUUCAAGAGGUACGUAUAUUUAGUUUCAAUUCCUUCUAGAGAUGAGUUAAGCCACAUGGAUUUCUGAAAAUAAAUGAGUUAUUUUUUGUAAAUCGAAAAGAUUAAUCAGUCAGCGAGAAGCUACACACCUAUAUAUAUACAGAUCUCGUUAAUGUCCUAGAUUUGGUUCUUUCUGCUGGGGCAUUCUGAUUAACUGGGAAAGGAUAUAGCAAGCUUGAGCAAAUGAGGAUGCGAUAAUUCAAAAUAUUUAGAAGGAUUUUAAUAAUUAAGUCGUAUUGUUAUCCACAAUUACUGGGUAUGAAAAAGAAAAGAUAAUUAAAGAAAAUUAACGAGAUAAAUUAAAAAUGAUUCCAAUGAUAUCUUUAAUUUAAAUAAUCAAGGCUGUUAAAUAAUGAUAAUAAGAGUAUACGGCAAAUUACAUCCACACCUUUAAUUUCUCAAUCCACAAACCAAAUGAUUUUUCCUUUGAAGUGGAUUUUAUAAUUGAUAGGCAAGCUAAUUUCCUAGAAUUAGAUAAAGUUAAAUCCUAAUACGACCACUAAUUGAAGAGAAAACUUGGUAAUUAUAAGAGAUGAGGUUCCGUCAUCAGGUCAUCUUGCAGCUUCAAUCACUCAAAUACCAACAGAUCCGUUUCUCAACUUCUGAGUUCAUUCUCUGGGAUUAUUGCUCUCAUGCCCUCAAUUCAUCAAUUAUCUGAUAAGUACAAUUGUUCUGAAACAAACUAACAGAAAGAGGUUUGUCACUUACGUACCACCCUUGCCUCUUUGGUAUCGUACUGCCUCAAGGCAGCAAGGUGUCACCUGCAAGAUUGAAGAAGACAACGAUGAGCAAGACAAGAAAUGCAAAGAGAUAAAAGAAAAUAAUAACUUCUAACGGGUUAAGAGGCCAAGGGGGUGAGGCAUUAAAUGGAAGGUCAAGAUUUAUUAAAAGGUGCAAGAGUGAAUGAUCUAAUGGUGGAGUUUACCGGUUUGAAAAAUUGAUGAUUCCAAAGUGAGAGCUAAAAUAUCUAAGGGCCAAGAAAUUGUCCUGCAAAUUCAAGUUGAUCCAAGGGCGUAAAUCAAACAUGGCUUUGGGUUUAGGUGAUAAUUCAUAUAUUUAAUUGAAGAUCAUUUCAAGGAUUCAAACAGAGCUAAGUUCUUGAGAUUAAUUCUUCUCUUUUGUCCUUUUUCUUAAGCAUAAUUCUCAUUCUAUUUGUGUAUAAUUGUGCCUAAGUGUAAUUUUUCCAUAUAUAUGUUAGGGAUAUCUAAUAUGUGUGAUUGAAUGGAAUUAACUCUUCAAUUGAUCAAUUGUAUAUUCAAUUUCAUGUAAUUUUUGGACUCUA
Prosopis cineraria is the source of this 1778-nucleotide long non-coding RNA. RefSeq lists it as uncharacterized. Lineage: Eukaryota; Viridiplantae; Streptophyta; Magnoliopsida; Fabales; Fabaceae. The transcript is spliced from 3 exons. The record is from RefSeq and is a predicted model, not a curated record.